RNAcentral lists this ribosomal RNA (373 nucleotides) under uncultured organism. RNAcentral describes it as "bacterial SSU rRNA". It matches the Rfam family "Bacterial small subunit ribosomal RNA", at positions 526 to 896 of the family's 1533-position model. The record is from RNAcentral.
CGUAGGGUGCGAGCGUUAAUCGGAAUUACUGGGCGUAAAGCGUGCGCAGGCGGUUUGUUAAGAUAGGCGUGAAAUCCCCGGGCUCAACCUGGGAACUGCGCUUAUGACUGGCAAGCUAGAGUACGGCAGAGGGGGGUGGAAUUCCACGUGUAGCAGUGAAAUGCGUAGAGAUGUGGAGGAACACCAAUGGCGAAGGCAGCCCCCCUGGGUCGAUACUGACGCUCAUGCACGAAAGCGUGGGUAGCAAACAGGAUUAGAUACCCUGGUAGUCCACGCCCUAAACGAUGUCAACUAGGUGUUGGAUGGGUAAAACCAUUUAGUACCGGAGCUAACGCGUGAAGUUGACCGCCUGGGGAGUACGGCCGCAAGGUUA